RNAcentral lists this ribosomal RNA (712 nucleotides) under Koorrnonga sp. BCOD-2008. RNAcentral describes it as "eukaryotic LSU rRNA". The stretch from base 439 to 712 matches the Rfam family "Eukaryotic large subunit ribosomal RNA", at positions 665 to 894 of the family's 3401-position model. Lineage: Eukaryota; Metazoa; Arthropoda; Insecta; Ephemeroptera; Leptophlebiidae. The record is from RNAcentral.
UAAAGGUCGAAAGGGGAGAUUCAGUAUCCAUUCCUCGCCGCCGCCCUGCGCCGCAGGUACAACUCGGGGUGCCCCUUCGGGGGUGGCCCUGGGCCUGCGGCGCAGUUUCGCGCGCGGGAGGUGGAGCGCACUUCUCCCCGAGUAGGACGCCGCGACCCGCUGGGUGUCGGUCUGAGGCCUGGGCGCGAGUCCGAGUCGAGUUUUUCUCGUCGCGGAGCCCCGGUGUCCCGACCGACCGCUCGGCGGUCUGACGUAAGGAACUGGCCCGCGCUCUUUUGCGCGCCCGUGCCGCUUGCGAGCGUCCGGCUGAACCCGUCGUGCGGACUCGUCCGCCGCGGGCCCGUCGGCGUUGUCGGCUUGCGGACUUCUCGGGCAGCGGCCUCUCCUGUUUGCGGCGCUCAAAGCUGGGCGGCCCACCCGGCCCGUCUUGAAACACGGACCAAGGAGUCUAACAUGUGCGCGAGUCAUUGGGUCCCACUAAACCCAAGGGCGCAUUGAACGAGAAGGCCGGCCCUGCGCCGGCCGAGGGAGGAUGGGGCGGCGCUCGCGUCGCCUCCGCACUCCCGGGGCGUCUCGUCCUACCUGGGCUCGUCCUUGGAAGGUGAGGCGCACCAAGAGCGCACACGUUGGGACCCGAAAGAUGGUGAACUAUGCCUGGCCAGGACGAAGUCAGGGGAAACCCUGAUGGAGGUCCGUAGCGAUUCUGACGUGC